AAGGUCCCAAGGGUUCGGCUGUUCGCCGAUUAAAGUGGCACGCGAGCUGGGUUCAGAACGUCGUGAGACAGUUCGGUCCCUAUCUGUCGUGGGCGCUGGAGAUUCGAGAGGUCCUGACUCUAGUACGAGAGGACCGGGUUGGACGCGCCGCUAGUGAACCUGUUAUGACGCCAGUCGUACGGCAGGGUAGCCACGCGCGGACGGGAUAAGCGCUGAAAGCAUCUAAGCGCGAAGCCUGCCUCGAGAUGAGAUCUCCUUACAGGGUCGUCGUAGACGACGACGUUGAUAGGCCACAGGUGUAAAGCCGGUGACGGCAAAGCCGAGUGGUACUAAUCACCCGAAAGUUGACGUU
RNAcentral lists this ribosomal RNA (352 nucleotides) under Butyricimonas paravirosa. Its description in RNAcentral is "partial 23S ribosomal RNA". It matches the Rfam family "Bacterial large subunit ribosomal RNA", at positions 2559 to 2925 of the family's 2925-position model. Lineage: Bacteria; Pseudomonadati; Bacteroidota; Bacteroidia; Bacteroidales; Odoribacteraceae. The record is from RNAcentral.